CGCCCGAGUAGCUGGGCUUGUCCUGCUGCUCCGGACGCGGCAUGCGGAACACUGCCUGCAGCAGCGCCGGUGCGACGCCCUCCUGGCUGC
RNAcentral lists this transfer RNA (90 nucleotides) under Stutzerimonas stutzeri. Its description in RNAcentral is "Pseudomonas stutzeri tRNA-Pro(cgg)". Lineage: Bacteria; Pseudomonadati; Pseudomonadota; Gammaproteobacteria; Pseudomonadales; Pseudomonadaceae. RNAcentral also lists the same sequence under 1 other name. The record is from RNAcentral.